AGCAGCAGCCGCGGGAAUACGGAGGGUGCAAGCGUUAAUCGGAAUUACUGGGCGUAAAGCGUGCGUAGGCGGUUCGUUAAGUCUGUUGUGAAAGCCCCGGGCUCAACCUGGGAAUGGCAAUGGAUACUGGCGAGCUAGAGUGUGUCAGAGGAUGGUGGAAUUCCCGGUGUAGCGGUGAAAUGCGUAGAGAUCGGGAGGAACAUCAGUGGCGAAGGCGGCCAUCUGGGACAACACUGACGCUGAGGCACGAAAGCGUGGGGAGCAAACAGGAUUAGAUACCCGGGUAGUCCCUGUCUCUUAUAC
Molecule: ribosomal RNA, 303 nt
Filed under: uncultured bacterium
Lineage: Bacteria
Description: partial 16S ribosomal RNA
Rfam family: Bacterial small subunit ribosomal RNA
Source: RNAcentral